Molecule: unclassified non-coding RNA, 213 nt
Filed under: air metagenome
Description: partial contains small subunit ribosomal RNA, internal transcribed spacer 1, and 5.8S ribosomal RNA
Rfam family: Eukaryotic small subunit ribosomal RNA (bases 1-46)
Source: RNAcentral
AAGUCGUAACAAGGUUUCCGUAGGUGAACCUGCGGAAGGAUCAUUAAUGAAUUUGAAGGACGUUCUUUUUAGAAGUCCGACCUCUUCAUUUCCUUACACCGUGCACACACUUCUUUUUUACACCAUUUUUAACACAUCAGUAUAAGAAUGUAAACAGUCUCUUAAUUGAGCAUAAAAUAAAUAAAACUUUCAGCAACGGAUCUCUUGGCUCUC